GCGUUGCCUAUUUUGUUGGUUUAUGGCGUCGCCGUAAUGAUUAAUAGGGACAGUUGGGGGCAUUAGUAUUCGAUUGUCAGAGGUGAAAUUCUUGGAUUUAUCGAAGACUAACUACUGCGAAAGCAUUUGCCAAGGAUGUUUUCAUUAAUCAAGAACGAAAGUUAGGGGAUCGAAGACGAUUAGAUACCGUCGUAGUCUUAACCAUAAACUAUGCCGACUAGGGAUCGGGCGCGGUUUCAAACGACUCGCUCGGCACCUUAAGAGAAAUCAAAGUUUUUGGGUUCUGGGGGGAGUAUGGUCGCAAGGCUGAAACUUAAAGGAAUUGACGGAAGGGCACCACCAGAUGUGGAGCCUGCGGCUUAAUUUGACUCAACACGGGGAAACUCACCAGGUCCAGACACAUUAAGGAUUGACAGAUUGAGAGCUCUUUCUUGAUUAUGUGGGUGGUGGUGCAUGGCCGUUCUUAGUUGGUGGAGUGAUUUGUCUGCUUAAUUGCGAUAACGAACGAGACCUUAACCUGCUAAAUAGCCAGGCGAGCUUUUGCUCGUCGCCGGCUUCUUAGAGGGACUAUCGGCUCAAGCCGAUGGAAGUUUGAGGCAAUAACAGGUCUGUGAUGCCCUUAGAUGUUCUGGGCCGCACGCGCGCUACACUGACAGAGCCAACGAGUAUAAACCUUGACCGAGAGGUCUGGGUAAUCUUGUUAAACUCUUGUCCGUGCUUGGGAUAGCGCAUUUGCAAUAAUCCCCCNGG
Molecule: ribosomal RNA, 750 nt
Filed under: uncultured Ascomycota
Lineage: Eukaryota; Fungi; Ascomycota
Description: SSU rRNA
Rfam family: Eukaryotic small subunit ribosomal RNA
Source: RNAcentral